Salvelinus fontinalis (brook trout) is the source of this 282-nucleotide long non-coding RNA. RefSeq lists it as uncharacterized. Lineage: Eukaryota; Metazoa; Chordata; Actinopteri; Salmoniformes; Salmonidae. The record is from RefSeq and is a predicted model, not a curated record. The transcript is spliced from 2 exons.
UUUUUAGUGUUGCUGACGAGACGCUGAUCAUGUGAAGAGUUUGCAAAUCAAAUGCCCAAUUGUGGUGCUACCAGACAGCAGAAAACAAGUUGGUACCUCCAGCAGGCAGAGAGGCAAGAACCAUUCUUCCACCAGUUCAGGGACAAGCUACACUAUUCAUAAUACUGUGUAAUGCUCAAUGUAAUUGCAGUGCUGGUCUUUUUUAAACUGAAUGUAUUUGUAUCGUUUAAGAAAUGUACAAAUUAAAGGAAAUGUAUGGUUGAAACAUGCCUUUAAUGUUUA